Molecule: non-coding RNA, 1290 nt
Organism: Peromyscus maniculatus bairdii (prairie deer mouse)
Lineage: Eukaryota; Metazoa; Chordata; Mammalia; Rodentia; Cricetidae
Source: RefSeq, a predicted model, not a curated record
GAGAUGCUCUUGUGGCUGAUGACAUCAACACUGCUACAGAGGACACUGAAGUCAAGAGGAAUUCUGUUGACUCCCUGCCUGGCAAUUUCUCCUCUCCUGAAUCAGUCUUGGAGGCUACACCCAUGGGAUUUCUGAACCUGGGCUUCUGUGAAGAAGAUUCAUCCCAGGGGUCAGAUAUUCCCAGUGACCAGCCCCAGGUGGCACCCAUGACAUCUGUAUCCAGGCCACUCAGGAUCUGGAAACUGGUGAGGAAGCAAAUGUCCCAUGCACUGAGAGCACUGUGCUGCUGCUGUUGCUGCCUGCCCACCCCAAGUGUGGAAACUGAAAUGGUCCAAUAGAGUUCCAGAACUGGUGAGGAGCCACAGAAGGGACCCAAGACAGAUCGCCAGAGUGCCAGCUCCCUCCAACACAGAGCAACAGGCUCCUGCCUGCAUUAAUCCUCCAGCUAUUGGGUCUGAGCUACCAAUCUGCAUCUCUUUCAGCUCAAUUCAGCUUCAGAGCUGUUGUGGGACAAUUGGGGGUCAUAAGGCACAUGGACCCCAUGACCCUCUACCUUCCUAGCUUUGGUUGUGCUUGUAGGACCACUCACACUGCAUCGAAAACAGCAACCUCUACAACCAGGAAGGACUUCAUACCAAUCACGGCUGCUCAUCAUCUUGGUCACUUUAACCCUCCAACUUACUCUGUGACUGCCUUAUGGACAAAACAGCAAGACCUGUAUAAGUCCUCUGGAGAAUGGAGAUCUGAGGUAUACCAGGAGAAAGAUGCAGCACUAUUGGUCAGUGGAGUCCCAUCCUCUUCAGUGCUGACCUCCUUCAUCCAGGCUUCCCAUGGUGCCUCCCACCUCCUGAUCCAAAAAUUCUGCAUCAUUUUUCCAUCUCAUAGAGGCAUUUAUAAUGAUAUUAACAUUGUUCUGCUCCAAUGUGGGAAGGACACCUUCCAGUUAGGGAACAGCUCACUGAUUUGGAAACGGGAAAUGAAAUCGACAGGGAAUCCAGGGUCCUAAUAUGUGUGAAUCAUGAACCUGAAGUUGACCUCCAGCUCCAUCUGACCAUCUGACCAUCUGACCCUGGACUGUUAGCAAACACUGAUGCAAACGAGAGUCUGUGGUUGGAUCUUCCCAGUGGAUGAUGGCCAGCUUGUGCUGUCACUGACUUCUAGAACCCUGACCAUCUGGUGAGUCCCAAGUGCAGAUAACAAGAUCAGUCAGUUUGUUCAGGAAGAGAGAGAAAUUUUCAGUUUGUGGGUAUCACCUGGUGUCAGACUGUGUUUCUGCUGCAUAUCAGUGAA